GUGCGCAGCUACCAUCUGUCGGAUUAUGUCUGAACGCCUCUAAGCCAGAAGACUUGCUAGAAACGACGAUAGACAAUCUCUCCUGGUUUCGAUGUGAUAUCCACAGGGCAUAGUGUAAGAGCAAUGGGGGUAAACCCUUUUGCUCUUGUGCCGAAUGUACCCGUGUCAAUCAGAGUAACGGUGAGCGUGGGAGUGAGUGAUGACUCGUUGUGUAUAUCUUACUUCUUUUCGUUAAGAAUGGAGAGGACACAUCGUGUUUUCAGUAUAUCUCUACGAGGAUAAACGGGAGGGUAC
RNAcentral lists this ribosomal RNA (294 nucleotides) under Guillardia theta. RNAcentral describes it as "partial Eukaryotic large subunit ribosomal RNA". The record is from RNAcentral. Lineage: Eukaryota; Cryptophyceae; Pyrenomonadales; Geminigeraceae.